GACAGAGGCCUCGAGCGUUAGGCGGAAUCACUGGGCUUAAAGCGUGUGUAGGCGGGUCGUUAAGUACCUUGUGAAAUCCCACGGCUCAACCGUGGAACGGCUGGGUAUACUGGCGAUCUUGGGCCAUUCAGGGGCGACUGGAACAAGCGGUGGAGCGGUGAAAUGCGUAGAUAUCGCUUGGAACGCCGAAGGUGAAAACAGGUCGCUGGGGAUGUGCCGACGCUGAGACACGAAAGCCAGGGGAGCAAACGGG
RNAcentral lists this ribosomal RNA (253 nucleotides) under uncultured bacterium. RNAcentral's name for it is "partial 16S ribosomal RNA". It matches the Rfam family "Bacterial small subunit ribosomal RNA", at positions 524 to 776 of the family's 1533-position model. The record is from RNAcentral.